Molecule: ribosomal RNA, 263 nt
Filed under: uncultured bacterium
Lineage: Bacteria
Description: partial 16S ribosomal RNA
Rfam family: Bacterial small subunit ribosomal RNA
Source: RNAcentral
GUCCACGCCGUAAACGAUGUCGACUAGCCGUUGGGCCCUUCUAGGGCUUAGUGGCGCAGCUAACGCAUUAAGUCGACCGCCUGGGGAGUACGGCCGCAAGGUUAAAACUCAAAUGAAUUGACGGGGGCCCGCACAAGCGGUGGAGCAUGUGGUUUAAUUCGAUGCAACGCGAAGAACCUUACCUACCCUUGACAUCCUGCGAACUUUCUAGAGAUAGAUUGGUGCCUUCGGGAGCGCAGAGACAGGUGCUGCAUGGCUGUCGU